GCGGAUGUGGUGGAAUGGUAGACACGCACGCUUGAGGGGCGUGUGGCUCACGCCAUGCGAGUUCGACUCUCGCCAUCCGCA
RNAcentral lists this transfer RNA (81 nucleotides) under Rippkaea orientalis PCC 8801. RNAcentral's name for it is "tRNA-Leu (GAG) (tRNA-Leu-GAG-1-1)". It matches the Rfam family "tRNA". Rfam says of the family: Transfer RNA (tRNA) molecules are approximately 80 nucleotides in length. Their secondary structure includes four short double-helical elements and three loops (D, anti-codon, and T loops). RNAcentral also lists the same sequence under 1 other name. Lineage: Bacteria; Bacillati; Cyanobacteriota; Cyanophyceae; Chroococcales; Aphanothecaceae. The record is from Rfam by way of RNAcentral.